AUGAAACGCUGGCGGCGUGCCUAACACAUGCAAGUCGAGCGGAGAGAGACGAGUAUUCGUACAAAUCUCUCUUAGCGGCGGACGGGUGAGUAACACGUGAGUAACCUGCCUUCUUCUGGGGAAUAACACAGAGAAAUUUGUGCUAAUACCGCAUAAAGUCACGACUGGGCAUCCAGAUGUGACCAAAGGAGCAAUCCGGAGGAAGAUGGACUCGCGUCCGAUUAGGUAGUUGGUGAGGUAACGGCCCACCAAGCCUACGAUCGGUAGCCGAACUGAGAGGUUGAUCGGCCACAUUGGGACUGAGACACGGCCCAGACUCCUACGGGAGGCAGCAGUGGGGAAUAUUGGGCAAUGGGGGAAACCCUGACCCAGCAACGCCGCGUGAAGGACGAAGGCCUUCGGGUUGUAAACUUCUUUGAUCAGGGACGAAACAAAUGACGGUACCUGAGGAACAAGCCACGGCUAACUACGUG
Molecule: ribosomal RNA, 473 nt
Filed under: uncultured bacterium
Lineage: Bacteria
Description: bacterial SSU rRNA
Rfam family: Bacterial small subunit ribosomal RNA
Source: RNAcentral